Molecule: transfer RNA, 77 nt
Filed under: Candidatus Altimarinota bacterium
Lineage: Bacteria; Candidatus Altimarinota
Description: tRNA-Cys
Rfam family: tRNA
About the family: Transfer RNA (tRNA) molecules are approximately 80 nucleotides in length.
Source: RNAcentral
GGCCGCGUCGUCAAGUGGUCUAAGACUGCAGUUUGCAAAACUGCCAUUCGUCGGUUCGAAUCCGACCGCGGCCUCCA